RNAcentral lists this ribosomal RNA (477 nucleotides) under Candida albicans. RNAcentral describes it as "eukaryotic LSU rRNA". The stretch from base 111 to 264 matches the Rfam family "5.8S ribosomal RNA". Lineage: Eukaryota; Fungi; Ascomycota; Pichiomycetes; Serinales; Debaryomycetaceae. The record is from RNAcentral.
UUCUUUGAAACAAACUUGCUUUGGCGGUGGGCCCAGCCUGUCGCCUGAGGUCUAAACUUACAACCAAUUUUUUAUUAACUUGUCACACCAGAUUAUUACUAAAUAGUCAAAACUUUCAACAACGGAUCUCUUGGUUCUCGCAUCGAUGAAGAACGCAGCGAAAUGCGAUACGUAAUAUGAAUUGCAGAUAUUCGUGAAUCAUCGAAUCUUUGAACGCACAUUGCGCCCUCUGGUAUUCCGGAGGGCAUGCCUGUUUGAGCGUCGUUUCUCCCUCAAACCGCUGGGUUUGGUGUUGAGCAAUACGACUUGGGUUUGCUUGAAAGACGGUAGUGGUAAGGCGGGAUCGCUUUGACAAUGGCUUANGUCUAACCAAAAACAUUGCUUGCGGCGGUAACGUCCACCACGUAUAUCUUCAAACUUUGACCUCAAAUCAGGUAGGACUACCCGCUGAACUUAAGCAUAUCAAUAAGCGGAGGA